UGCUUUCCUAUGUUAUGCAUCAAUAUCAAUUAAUUUGUAACUUUCAAAAUGGCAAAUUCUUACUGUAUGUUUCAGCCAAAAAAUAAAAAGAAUAAAAAUAUCAAUAUUCCUAAUUCAGGGAUUCCAUGUGGUCUGAUUGAUUGUAGCUUCUGCCUAGUAGUCAUCUGCUAAUCUUGCUUUUUCCCUAUUGUUGGAUCAAUGC
This 202-nucleotide long non-coding RNA is filed under the name Jatropha curcas. Its description in RNAcentral is "long non-coding RNA (JCUR_LNC000329)". Lineage: Eukaryota; Viridiplantae; Streptophyta; Magnoliopsida; Malpighiales; Euphorbiaceae. The record is from RNAcentral.